RNAcentral lists this unclassified non-coding RNA (283 nucleotides) under Orbiliomycetes sp. RNAcentral describes it as "partial contains 5.8S ribosomal RNA, internal transcribed spacer 2, and large subunit ribosomal RNA". Lineage: Eukaryota; Fungi; Ascomycota; Orbiliomycetes. The record is from RNAcentral.
CGCACAUUGCGCCCAUUGGUAUUCCGAUGGGCACGUCUGUUUGAGCGUCAUCUCAACCCUUCGGCUGACAUUAGCUUGUUCACCGGUUGUGAGUUCGGUCAGGAACGCCUUGCGAAAGGCACCCACCGGCUUCAAAUGUUGUACGCUCCGCGGGUCCACCAACCUGACAAAACAUAGUAGAAUUUCAAACUGUUUCCGUUACGGCCGGUCAGGAUUCCGCCUGAACAAACCACCCUUCUUAAGGUUUGACCUCAGAUCAGACGAGGAUACCCGCUGAACUUAA